GGGCAGAGCAGUGACUGAGCACUGGACUUUUCCAGGCUCUGUGCCUUUGCCAGCUCAUUCUGUAAUGCUGCAGAAAGUCAUUUAAAUGUCUCCAGUAUGUAAGUUUACCCAACUGUAAAAUUGGGUGUAAUAAGACUUGCUUACUUUACAGCUAAGGUUUAAUUCCAUUUUGUUUGCUGUGCGGUGCCAGACCCCAUCCAGCAGGUGUAAUGGGCGAGGUGCUCUACACGGGCAGCAGGGAGGGCUGUCCAUUAGCAAAAAGGUUGUCGUAAGAAAAGCCCUGGAACGGAAUACAGAAAGCAAACGGCAGCAGACAGAACCAGAUAAUUAUCGCUCCCCUAUCACGUAACCCUCCAGGGAACGAGGUGAAGGGGCUCGUGGGGAGCGCCUGUAGCAGAGGGACGAGCACUGCUGCCAGCCUGCAGCGAGCUUUGCAGGCUGGGUCCUGGGGAAGCCUCGCGCGCCCAGCGCCUUGCCCUGUGCACUUCUGCAGGCACACGCGGUGGGGCGAAGCCGAAACCGAGCAGCAGGCUGGGAAACCCUGCUGCUGCACGCUCGCCUAGACCCCGAGAAAUGCCAGUAAGAGCGACACGCUUGUUUUAGCUCAGCUGCCCUCAGGCCGCUUUGUUAUGCUGAACAGCCCCGUUGCGCAGAGCGUGUAUUUUGUUUUAAGUGCACACAUUUAUCACCUUCACCGGUGAUUUAUAAUAUGAAGCAGAUUCGAAGAAUAUGGGACGUGGUUUCUCCUGCCUGAAAGCUUUCUGUUUGUGUUACUUUUUUCAGUGCUUUCACACGGCGGUGCGAGUCCCUGCCUAUCUGGGGGAGAGGUGCUCCAUCAGAGGUUGCCAACCUUUAUUAAACUCCUCUGUGUUGUGCUUGUGGCUGGAGGGCAGCCGGGCCAGGCCCCGUCUUGGUCUGCGCGUGGAAAAAGUCACUGCCUGGAGGUGCUGAGAGCCCGAAAAUGGGAGCAACCGGGUGAUGAGGGAUGCAUGGCCCACAUACAGCUCAGAUUUGAUGCUGCUCUCGCCGCAGCACUGUGCAGCGUUGGGCUGGGGCCAGCACCACACCGGCCACCGACCAGCGGGGGUCUGUGGGGACCGGCAGUGCCCGUGGGCAGGGUGUCAGAGGCAAGACCCAAACUUUUAUGCACUCUUUCUAAGUGCUAAUGAACCUCGUAAGCAGCGGCUCACCGAAGGAUAUCAAGUCCCAGCUGUUCUCCCCAGGGAAGACAACCUGGCAGAAAUUGCACACUAUUUGCUGAAAGAAUCUCUAGUUUCUGGAGUCGGUUCAGAUAUACGGGAGAUGGUUAAAUCCGUGCUUGCAGAGGGAUCGCUACCCUAAGGGGGGCUAGGCUCCUUCCAACACAGCUGUGCUUUCCUUAUAAAAAUAUUUUUUUCCUUUUUUUUUUCUGGUAUUAUUUUCUCCUUCAAACCCUCAUGAUACCUGGUCACUGGUAUGAUUUUUGAUUUCCAGGUGAGAAACAGAAGGGAACAAUUUUAUCCAGAGCACCCACCAGAGAGGUGCUCUGUGUGAAUCGUUUGUGAGCCUUUACGAGGGCAGGGUCAGAUUUCCAGCAGUGAGAUCAGAGAACCUCAGGUGCGUGGCUGGAGAAAUUCAGUUUUUUUUCUAUUUCUUGAUUUACUAGUGCUGACAUAAACACCAUAGCUGACAUUUUUGAAGUGAUCAUAGAGAGCCCUUGGAGCUGAGCGAAGCUGAAGGGCAAGGACAACAUCUGCAUUCACCUCCUACCAGGAGAGGAUGGCAAGUCCUAGGACAACGGCAAAAACAAAGCUGGAGGGACAGGGGUGAAACUUAUGUGCAAAAAAAAAAUAAAUUCUAUUUUGAACUUUAUUGCUGAAAUGAU
This is a long non-coding RNA of Anser brachyrhynchus (Pink-footed goose), 1864 nucleotides long. NCBI's taxonomy places the organism in Eukaryota, Metazoa, Chordata, Aves, Anseriformes, Anatidae. The record is from Ensembl.